GUGCCCGUAGCUCAGCUGGAUAGAGCAACAGCCUUCUAAGCUGUGGGUCGGGAGUUCGAAUCUCUCCGGGCACGCCA
Molecule: transfer RNA, 77 nt
Filed under: bacterium
Lineage: Bacteria
Description: tRNA-Arg
Rfam family: tRNA
About the family: Transfer RNA (tRNA) molecules are approximately 80 nucleotides in length. Their secondary structure includes four short double-helical elements and three loops (D, anti-codon, and T loops).
Source: RNAcentral